RNAcentral lists this ribosomal RNA (460 nucleotides) under uncultured bacterium. RNAcentral's name for it is "partial 16S ribosomal RNA". It matches the Rfam family "Bacterial small subunit ribosomal RNA", at positions 338 to 795 of the family's 1533-position model. The record is from RNAcentral.
CCUACGGGUGGCAGCAGUGAGGAAUAUUGGACAAUGGGCGCGAGCCUGAACCAGUCAAGUAGCGUGAAGGAUGACUGCCCUACGGGUUGUAAACUUCUUUUAUGAAGGAAUAAACUGAGGCACGUGUGCCUUUUUGUAUGUACUUUAUGAAUAAGGAUCGGCUAACUCCGUUCCAGCAGCCGCGGUAAUACGGAGGGGCCGAGCGUUAUCCGGAUUUAUAGGGUUUAAAGGGAGCGUAGAGGGGUUGUUAAGUCAGUUGUGAAAGGUUGGGGCUCAACCGUAGAACUGCAAUUGAUACUGGCAGUCUUGAGUACAGUUGAGGUAGGCAGAAUUCGUGGUGUAGCGGUGAAAUGCGUAGAUAUCACGAAGAACUCCGAUUGCGAAGGCAGCUUACUAAACUGCCACUGACGUUGAUGCUCGAAAGCGUGGGGAUCAAACAGGAUUAGAUACCCCUGUAGUC